GGACAUUCCUGCAGUCAGCAUGCCAGUUGCACGCUCCCUCAAAACAUGCGACAUCUGUGGCAUUGUGCUGUGUGUUAAAACUGCCCAUUUUAGAGUGGCCUUUUAUUGUGGCCCUCCUAAGGCACACCUUUGCAAUAAUCAUGCUGUCUAAUCAGCAUCUUGAUAUGCCAGACCUGCGAGGUUGAUGGAUUAUCUCGGCAAAAGAG
Non-coding RNA from Pelobates cultripes (western spadefoot toad), 206 nucleotides. The record is from the annotation of a GenBank genome assembly. NCBI's taxonomy places the organism in Eukaryota, Metazoa, Chordata, Amphibia, Anura, Pelobatidae.